AUUGAACGCUGGCGGCAGGCCUAACACAUGCAAGUCGAGCGGAUGAAGGGAGCUUGCUCCUGGAUUCAGCGGCGGACGGGUGAGUAAUGCCUAGGAAUCUGCCUGGUAGUGGGGGAUAACGUCCGGAAACGGGCGCUAAUACCGCAUACGUCCUGAGGGAGAAAGUGGGGGAUCUUCGGACCUCACGCUAUCAGAUGAGCCUAGGUCGGAUUAGCUAGUUGGUGGGGUAAAGGCCUACCAAGGCGACGAUCCGUAACUGGUCUGGGAGGAUGAUCAGUCACACCGGAACUGAGACACGGUCCAGACUCCUACGGGAGGCAGCAGUGGGGAAUAUUGGACAAAGGGCGAAAGCCUGAUCCAGCCAUGCCGCGUGUGUGAAGAAGGUCUUCGGAUUGUAAAGCACUUUAAGUUGGGAGGAAGGGCAGUAAGUUAAUACCUUGCUGUUUUGACGUUACCAACAGAAUAAGCACCGGCUAACUUCGUG
This 484-nucleotide ribosomal RNA is filed under the name uncultured bacterium. RNAcentral describes it as "partial 16S ribosomal RNA". It matches the Rfam family "Bacterial small subunit ribosomal RNA", at positions 30 to 507 of the family's 1533-position model. The record is from RNAcentral.